RNAcentral lists this ribosomal RNA (250 nucleotides) under uncultured bacterium. RNAcentral describes it as "partial 16S ribosomal RNA". It matches the Rfam family "Bacterial small subunit ribosomal RNA", at positions 524 to 773 of the family's 1533-position model. The record is from RNAcentral.
UACGAGGGGGGCGAGCGUUGUUCGGAAUUAUUGGGCGUAAAGGGCGCGUAGGCGGUGCGGUAAGUCACCUGUGAAACCUCCGGGCUCAACUCGGAGCCUGCAGGCGAAACUGCCGUGCUGGAGUGUGGGAGAGGUGAGUGGAAUUCCCGGUGUAGCGGUGAAAUGCGUAGAGAUCGGGAGGAAUACCAAUGGCGAAAGCAGGUUACUGGACCAAUACUGACGCUCAGAUGCGAAAGCUAGGGGAGCAAAC